This 1724-nucleotide ribosomal RNA is filed under the name Salmonella enterica subsp. enterica serovar Stanley. Its description in RNAcentral is "partial 23S ribosomal RNA". It matches the Rfam family "Bacterial large subunit ribosomal RNA", at positions 528 to 2236 of the family's 2925-position model. Lineage: Bacteria; Pseudomonadati; Pseudomonadota; Gammaproteobacteria; Enterobacterales; Enterobacteriaceae. The record is from RNAcentral.
GGCGAGGGGAGUGAAAAAGAACCUGAAACCGUGUACGUACAAGCAGUGGGAGCACCCUUCGGGGUGUGACUGCGUACCUUUUGUAUAAUGGGUCAGCGACUUAUAUUCUGUAGCAAGGUUAACCGAAUAGGGGAGCCGGAGGGAAACCGAGUCUUAAUUGGGCGUUAAGUUGCAGGGUAUAGACCCGAAACCCGGUGAUCUAGCCAUGGGCAGGUUGAAGGUUGGGUAACACUAACUGGAGGACCGAACCGACUAAUGUUGAAAAAUUAGCGGAUGACCUGUGGCUGGGGGUGAAAGGCCAAUCAAACCGGGAGAUAGCUGGUUCUCCCCGAAAGCUAUUUAGGUAGCGCCUCGUGAAUUCAUCUCCGGGGGUAGAGCACUGUUUCGGCUAGGGGGCCAUCCCGGCUUACCAACCCGAUGCAAACUGCGAAUACCGGAGAAUGUUAUCACGGGAGACACACGGCGGGUGCUAACGUCCGUCGUGAAGAGGGAAACAACCCAGACCGCCAGCUAAGGUCCCAAAGUCAUGGUUAAGUGGGAAACGAUGUGGGAAGGCCCAGACAGCCAGGAUGUUGGCUUAGAAGCAGCCAUCAUUUAAAGAAAGCGUAAUAGCUCACUGGUCGAGUCGGCCUGCGCGGAAGAUGUAACGGGGCUAAACCAUGCACCGAAGCUGCGGCAGCGACACUGUGUGUUGUUGGGUAGGGGAGCGUUCUGUAAGCCUGUGAAGGUGUGUCGUGAGGCAUGCUGGAGGUAUCAGAAGUGCGAAUGCUGACAUAAGUAACGAUAAAGCGGGUGAAAAGCCCGCUCGCCGGAAGACCAAGGGUUCCUGUCCAACGUUAAUCGGGGCAGGGUGAGUCGACCCCUAAGGCGAGGCCGAAAGGCGUAGUCGAUGGGAAACGGGUUAAUAUUCCCGUACUUGGUGUUACUGCGAAGGGGGGACGGAGAAGGCUAUGUUGGCCGGGCGACGGUUGUCCCGGUUUAAGCGUGUAGGUGUGUGUUCCAGGUAAAUCCGGUUCACUUUAACACUGAGGCGUGACGACGAGGCACUACGGUGCUGAAGCAACAAAUGCCCUGCUUCCAGGAAAAGCCUCUAAGCAUCAGGUAACAUCAAAUCGUACCCCAAACCGACACAGGUGGUCAGGUAGAGAAUACCAAGGCGCUUGAGAGAACUCGGGUGAAGGAACUAGGCAAAAUGGUGCCGUAACUUCGGGAGAAGGCACGCUGACACGUAGGUGAAGUGAUUUACUCAUGGAGCUGAAGUCAGUCGAAGAUACCAGCUGGCUGCAACUGUUUAUUAAAAACACAGCACUGUGCAAACACGAAAGUGGACGUAUACGGUGUGACGCCUGCCCGGUGCCGGAAGGUUAAUUGAUGGGGUCAGCGCAAGCGAAGCUCCUGAUCGAAGCCCCGGUAAACGGCGGCCGUAACUAUAACGGUCCUAAGGUAGCGAAAUUCCUUGUCGGGUAAGUUCCGACCUGCACGAAUGGCGUAAUGAUGGCCAGGCUGUCUCCACCCGAGACUCAGUGAAAUUGAACUCGCUGUGAAGAUGCAGUGUACCCGCGGCAAGACGGAAAGACCCCGUGAACCUUUACUAUAGCUUGACACUGAACAUUGAGCCUUGAUGUGUAGGAUAGGUGGGAGGCUUUGAAGCGUGGACGCCAGUCUGCGUGGAGCCGACCUUGAAAUACCACCCUUUAAUGUUUGAUGUUCUAACGUGGACCCGU